Molecule: ribosomal RNA, 253 nt
Filed under: uncultured bacterium
Lineage: Bacteria
Description: partial 16S ribosomal RNA
Rfam family: Bacterial small subunit ribosomal RNA
Source: RNAcentral
GACAGAGGUGCCAAGCGUUAGGCGGAAUCACUGGGCUUAAAGCGUGUGUAGGUGGAUUUGUAAGUACCUUGUGAAAUCCCAUGGCUCAACCAUGGAACUGCUCGGUAUACUGCGAAUCUUGAGCCACUUAGGGGCUACCGGAACAAAUGGUGGAGCGGUGAAAUGCGUAGAUAUCAUCAGGAACACCGGAGGCGAAGGCGGCUCACUGGGGCUUUUCUGACGCUGAGGAACGAAAGCCAGGGGAGCGAACGGG